This 383-nucleotide ribosomal RNA is filed under the name uncultured soil bacterium. RNAcentral's name for it is "bacterial SSU rRNA". It matches the Rfam family "Bacterial small subunit ribosomal RNA", at positions 26 to 409 of the family's 1533-position model. The record is from RNAcentral.
AGAUUGAACGCUGGCGGCAGGCCUAACACAUGCAAGUCGAGCGGUAGAGAGGUGCUUGCAUCUCUUGAGAGCGGCGGACGGGUGAGUAAUGCCUAGGAAUCUGCCUAGUGGUGGGGAUAACGUUCGGAAACGGACGCUAAUACCGCAUACGUCCUACGGGAGAAAGCGGGGGACCUUCGGGCCUCGCGCCAUUAGAUGAGCCUAGGUCGGAUUAGCUAGUUGGUGAGGUAAUGGCUCACCAAGGCGACGAUCCGUAACUGGUCUGAGAGGAUGAUCAGUCACACUGGAACUGAGACACGGUCCAGACUCCUACGGGAGCAGCAGUGGGGAAUAGUUGGACAAGUGGGACGAAAGCCUGAUCCAGCCAUCGCCGCGUGUGAAAG